GUGCUUGGAAGUAGGAGAGAAAGUAAUCUACUAUUUUAAGAAAAUGGAUGGGGUGCCAAUGAUUUAAUUACAUUAGCUAAGAAGCCAGUUAGCAUUUAUUACACUUUUCAGGGUUAGAGGGCUGGAGUCCUGAAUCUAGGACAAAGCUGAAAGCUUGGCAGCAGGGACAGAGUCAGAAGCAAAGGCUGGAGUAAGUGGCAGGAUGAAGGUAGAAAAUGAUAUUGUCAUUGUCUCUGUCUUUCUGAGGGAAUCACUGGGAAUGGUAUUGAGAAGUGAAGGGUGCCAUGCCUCCCACUCGCAUCCUCUUCUGUGUCCACACCAAUGCAUAUCUCACUGUUAAAGAAGACGCCGAGAUAAAACAACUGGACAAGGAGCAGCUAGUGUGCCAUAUGAGGCCAAAACAAGAUUGCAGGGUACUCAGCUGACAACAUACAUGCAGUAGAAAUACAAAAGCAAGUGCAGCAACAUGGGCAGUGACAACUAUAGAUCCCAAUUGGCCAUGCUGAUGUUAAACGUUAAAGGAUGGCUGCCAAUGAGAAUUGUGCGCUGGGCAGGAACGUGCAUCAUGCUUGGGUGUGAGAAAUGAAUCUGAGACCAGGUAGGUACUCAGAGAGAUGAUCGGAGCACAGCCACCACAUCCCAAGCUCAUUCAGUGAGCUCAGGUCUCACCAGGCCCUGCUCUGUAUUGCUAUGUUACUUUUGACAAGUAAUUUUGUUGGGGUUCGGUUUCCUUGGCUGCUAGACUUUUGUGCACCUUCUGUUUAUCCGAAUAAACUUUUCACCUCAUUGAACUGCUGUUGCUCAGGUCAGCCUCUGGCGUCUCCUAUACUUCCCAGGGAUGUGAAAUGGGUCCCUCAGACAAACACUCGGUCUGAAGAUGAAAAGAGGGCGGAACUCAAGUCGCGGAUUUGUAUCAUGGAUAAACACUGCGUACCAAGUUAGUACCAAGAAGUAGGAACCACACUGGUGCCUCCCGCUCUCCUCCGCACCUGCACAAACCCUCGGAGUUGGUCAUCUGGCUUCUCUGGGGUAACAGCCACAUCCUCCGAAAAGGGUCCGGAGCCCCAGCCUCCAGAGACUCCAGAGAGUUUUCUCAAGGCCGCGAACACACCCUCCCCGACGGCACCGUACCCACCCCUUCCCGGGCCCUGUCACCUUGGCUGCCUGUGCCAUGGCUCUCCUCACCGCGGCCGCUACCUCCGGAGCAGUAGACUAGCCCCGCCUCUCAGCAACCAAUCAAAGACUGAACUGUCCAACUCCCUGUAGCCCCGUUACUAACGCGCCACAACCAAUCACCAGACAGCAUCUCCCUUUUAGCCCCGCCCUCCUACAAAGGACGGAGAAGGCGUUUGCUAAACGGGCGUUUCCCAAAGCCAUUUGCUAAACGGAUGGGCACUGGUAAAAUCGCGAGGAGUCCCAGAGCCCAAUUACUGGCCAGAAGAGAACGGAAAUCACCUGGACGCCAUUUUGGUUAGGGGCACAGUUACUUCCGGCGCAGGGAUCCUCUGCUAGGCUGACUGGGUUUGUAUUUAGUGGAUGGCAUCGGCACCCGUGUUUUGUUACCUCCUGUUUACGGUAUAGGAUCGUCUGUAAAAUAACUUUAUUUUAACGUUUCCCAGUUGCGACUAUCUCUUUGGAAAUGUGCAGAAAUAAAAGCCAAGUCCUAACAACUGACUCCUAAAAA
This is a non-coding RNA of Macaca mulatta (Rhesus monkey), 1684 nucleotides long. The record is from RefSeq and is a predicted model, not a curated record. NCBI's taxonomy places the organism in Eukaryota, Metazoa, Chordata, Mammalia, Primates, Cercopithecidae.